UGUAAAAUAAGCUCUUUCUAAUGACUAUAAACGCGAACAUGUUGAAAUUACAUGUAACUUCUGAAGCUCAAUGUGAAGGUGAGCGUGGCACCUACCAGGGGUUGACAAAAUUUAUUUCUUAUUUCGACUGCAUUCAGUGAAAGUACUUUGAAACAUGCAUGUCAGAAGGUCAAGUAAGCUACAUUCUCGUCUAGACUUACUUGUACGUGAAUACCCCUUAUGCUUCAAGUUGUAUUUCACCCAACUUCGACAUUGUUUAUAGCCGGUAUAUACUCAACAUCUGAAAAGUGCUGUGCAGCAUGGACAAGCAUCAAGAUCUCAUUCACAUUACAGUGGCAAAAAAGUCAUCUAAAAGUAACAGUUCAAUGACUGGUAGAACAAAUCCAAGUUGACUGACAGACAGCAAUGUAUCAAUUGGUAUGAAUUUCAAGGAAGACAUUAACAACUUCAAAAAUGACCCAUUGAUAAACAUGUCAAUGCCAGUCCUUAUUAAUUGAUGUGUUUGAAAAAAAAACAAUAA
Molecule: long non-coding RNA, 520 nt
Organism: Limulus polyphemus (Atlantic horseshoe crab)
Lineage: Eukaryota; Metazoa; Arthropoda; Merostomata; Xiphosura; Limulidae
Exons: 3
Source: RefSeq, a predicted model, not a curated record